Molecule: transfer RNA, 62 nt
Filed under: Selasia sp. UPOL RK0566
Lineage: Eukaryota; Metazoa; Arthropoda; Insecta; Coleoptera; Elateridae
Description: tRNA-Phe
Source: RNAcentral
GUUUUAAUAGCUUAUUUAGAGCAUGAUAUUGAAGAUGUCAAGGAGAUUUUAAUCUUAAAAUA